Molecule: ribosomal RNA, 2902 nt
Filed under: Klebsiella pneumoniae
Lineage: Bacteria; Pseudomonadati; Pseudomonadota; Gammaproteobacteria; Enterobacterales; Enterobacteriaceae
Description: 23S ribosomal RNA
Rfam family: Bacterial large subunit ribosomal RNA
Source: RNAcentral
GGUUAAGCGACUAAGCGUACACGGUGGAUGCCCUGGCAGUCAGAGGCGAUGAAGGACGUGCUAAUCUGCGAAAAGCGUCGGUAAGGUGAUAUGAACCGUUACAGCCGGCGAUGUCCGAAUGGGGAAACCCAGUGCAAUUCGUUGCACUAUCGUUAACUGAAUACAUAGGUUAACGAGGCGAACCGGGGGAACUGAAACAUCUAAGUACCCCGAGGAAAAGAAAUCAACCGAGAUUCCCCCAGUAGCGGCGAGCGAACGGGGAGCAGCCCAGAGUCUGAAUCAGCUUGUGUGUUAGUGGAACGGUCUGGAAAGUCCGACGGUACAGGGUGAUAGUCCCGUACACCAAAAUGCACAGGCUGUGAACUCGAAGAGUAGGGCGGGACACGUGGUAUCCUGUCUGAAUAUGGGGGGACCAUCCUCCAAGGCUAAAUACUCCUGACUGACCGAUAGUGAACCAGUACCGUGAGGGAAAGGCGAAAAGAACCCCGGCGAGGGGAGUGAAAAAGAACCUGAAACCGUGUACGUACAAGCAGUGGGAGCACCUUCGGGUGUGACUGCGUACCUUUUGUAUAAUGGGUCAGCGACUUAUAUUCUGUAGCAAGGUUAACCGUAUAGGGGAGCCGCAGGGAAACCGAGUCUUAACUGGGCGUUAAGUUGCAGGGUAUAGACCCGAAACCCGGUGAUCUAGCCAUGGGCAGGUUGAAGGUUGGGUAACACUAACUGGAGGACCGAACCGACUAAUGUUGAAAAAUUAGCGGAUGACUUGUGGCUGGGGGUGAAAGGCCAAUCAAACCGGGAGAUAGCUGGUUCUCCCCGAAAGCUAUUUAGGUAGCGCCUCGUGAAUUCAUCUUCGGGGGUAGAGCACUGUUUCGGCUAGGGGGUCAUCCCGACUUACCAACCCGAUGCAAACUACGAAUACCGAAGAAUGUUAUCACGGGAGACACACGGCGGGUGCUAACGUCCGUCGUGAAGAGGGAAACAACCCAGACCGCCAGCUAAGGUCCCAAAGUCAUGGUUAAGUGGGAAACGAUGUGGGAAGGCACAGACAGCCAGGAUGUUGGCUUAGAAGCAGCCAUCAUUUAAAGAAAGCGUAAUAGCUCACUGGUCGAGUCGGCCUGCGCGGAAGAUGUAACGGGGCUAAACCAUGCACCGAAGCUGCGGCAGCGACACUAUGUGUUGUUGGGUAGGGGAGCGUUCUGUAAGCCUGCGAAGGUGACCUGUGAGGGUUGCUGGAGGUAUCAGAAGUGCGAAUGCUGACAUAAGUAACGAUAAAGCGGGUGAAAAGCCCGCUCGCCGGAAGACCAAGGGUUCCUGUCCAACGUUAAUCGGGGCAGGGUGAGUCGACCCCUAAGGCGAGGCCGAAAGGCGUAGUCGAUGGGAAACAGGUUAAUAUUCCUGUACUUGGUGUUACUGCGAAGGGGGGACGGAGAAGGCUAUGUUAGCCGGGCGACGGUUGUCCCGGUUUAAGCAUGUAGGCUGAUUGUCCAGGCAAAUCCGGAUAAUCAAGGCUGAGGUGUGAUGACGAGGCACUACGGUGCUGAAGUAACAAAUGCCCUGCUUCCAGGAAAAGCCUCUAAGCAUCAGGUAACAUCAAAUCGUACCCCAAACCGACACAGGUGGUCAGGUAGAGAAUACCAAGGCGCUUGAGAGAACUCGGGUGAAGGAACUAGGCAAAAUGGUGCCGUAACUUCGGGAGAAGGCACGCUGGUGUGUAGGUGAAGUCCCUGCGGAUGGAGCUGAGACCAGUCGAAGAUACCAGCUGGCUGCAACUGUUUAUUAAAAACACAGCACUGUGCAAACACGAAAGUGGACGUAUACGGUGUGACGCCUGCCCGGUGCCGGAAGGUUAAUUGAUGGGGUUAUCCGUAAGGAGAAGCUCUUGAUCGAAGCCCCGGUAAACGGCGGCCGUAACUAUAACGGUCCUAAGGUAGCGAAAUUCCUUGUCGGGUAAGUUCCGACCUGCACGAAUGGCGUAAUGAUGGCCAGGCUGUCUCCACCCGAGACUCAGUGAAAUUGAACUCGCUGUGAAGAUGCAGUGUACCCGCGGCAAGACGGAAAGACCCCGUGAACCUUUACUAUAGCUUGACACUGAACAUUGAGCCUUGAUGUGUAGGAUAGGUGGGAGGCUUUGAAGCGUGGACGCCAGUCUGCGUGGAGCCAACCUUGAAAUACCACCCUUUAAUGUUUGAUGUUCUAACGUUGGCCCCUUACCGGGGUUGCGGACAGUGUCUGGUGGGUAGUUUGACUGGGGCGGUCUCCUCCCAAAGCGUAACGGAGGAGCACGAAGGUUAGCUAAUCCUGGUCGGACAUCAGGAGGUUAGUGCAAUGGCAUAAGCUAGCUUGACUGCGAGCGUGACGGCGCGAGCAGGUGCGAAAGCAGGUCAUAGUGAUCCGGUGGUUCUGAAUGGAAGGGCCAUCGCUCAACGGAUAAAAGGUACUCCGGGGAUAACAGGCUGAUACCGCCCAAGAGUUCAUAUCGACGGCGGUGUUUGGCACCUCGAUGUCGGCUCAUCACAUCCUGGGGCUGAAGUAGGUCCCAAGGGUAUGGCUGUUCGCCAUUUAAAGUGGUACGCGAGCUGGGUUUAGAACGUCGUGAGACAGUUCGGUCCCUAUCUGCCGUGGGCGCUGGAGAAUUGAGGGGGGCUGCUCCUAGUACGAGAGGACCGGAGUGGACGCAUCACUGGUGUUCGGGUUGUCAUGCCAAUGGCACUGCCCGGUAGCUAAAUGCGGAAGAGAUAAGUGCUGAAAGCAUCUAAGCACGAAACUUGCCCCGAGAUGAGUUCUCCCUGAGACUUUAAGUCUCCUGAAGGAACGUUAAAGACGAUGACGUUGAUAGGCCGGGUGUGUAAGCGCAGCGAUGCGUUGAGCUAACCGGUACUAAUGAACCGUGAGGCUUAACCUU